CUGGUUGAUCCUGCCGGAGGUCAUUGCUAUCGGAGUCCGAUUUAGCCAUGCUAGUUGGACGAAUUCAUAUUCGUAGCAGAUAGCUCAGUAACACGUGGCCAAACUACCCUAUAGACCANAAUAACCUCGGGAAACUGAGGGUAGUGGUGGAUACUCCUCUACUCCUGGAAUGGAUCGAGGGACAAAUGCUCCGGCGCUAUAGGAUGGGGCUGCGGCCGAUUAGGUAGACGGUGGGGUAACGGCCCACCGUGCCAAUAAUCGGUACGGGUUGGGAGAGCAAGAGCCCGGAGACGGAAUCUGAGACAAGAUUCCGGGGCCUACGGGGCGCAGCAGGCGCGAAAACUUUACACUGGACGACAGUGCGAUAAGGGGACUCCNNAGUGGGUGGGCAUAGUGCCCUNCGCUUUUGGUGAGCCGUAGGGAGGGACACGAAUAAGAGCUGGGCAAGAGCGGUGGCACCCGGCCGCGUAACACCGGCAGCUCGAGUGANAGCCGGAUAUUAGUGGGGCCUANAGCGUCCGUAGCCGGCAAGGGAAAGUCUGGUNGGG
RNAcentral lists this ribosomal RNA (548 nucleotides) under uncultured Halobacteriales archaeon. RNAcentral describes it as "bacterial SSU rRNA". It matches the Rfam family "Archaeal small subunit ribosomal RNA", at positions 4 to 547 of the family's 1478-position model. Lineage: Archaea; Methanobacteriati; Methanobacteriota; Halobacteria; Halobacteriales. The record is from RNAcentral.